Molecule: long non-coding RNA, 1941 nt
Filed under: Oncorhynchus mykiss (rainbow trout)
Lineage: Eukaryota; Metazoa; Chordata; Actinopteri; Salmoniformes; Salmonidae
Description: lncRNA (ENSOMYG00000070230.1)
Source: RNAcentral
ACACAAACAUGUAGCAUAAAACAUAGCUCAGUAUUUCCAUUAUUUAUUUUAUAUAGUCAUUUUUGUCAAUAAUUACAUACUCCAAUGUAUGUUUUAGCACCUCUAUUUCAUUAAUGUGUGUGUGUGUGUGUGUGUGUGUGUGUGUGUGUGUGUGUUUGUGUUUCAGUGUGCAGUCAAGCGAGAAGGUGAAGAAAGAGGCCCUGGAUCUUUGUCUGAAGUAUGGCUUUGUGACUCCUCUCACCUCCAUGGUGGUCACCAAGCCCCAGGGAGAAACCUCACAGGUGGCCCACAAGCCCAAGAAGGGGGCGAACCCCACCAUGAGCCACCACCAUGGAGUCCCCAUGUGUCUCUGAUCCUACUGGACAAGGCGAUGGACAUCAUCAUAGGGUUAACACCGAUCAUCAUCAUGCUCUACAAGGGGAAUGGAAUCAAGUUCAUGUGGCCUGUCCUGAGGCAGCGCCCGACAGGAGACAACAUUAUGGGGAUCAUGGCCCAUCCACCUGUUGCUUAUGAGGAGGUCCAGGGAACAACAAUGAAACUGAAGAUGAAGGACAAAGAAGUAGACGUCUCCAGGUAAGUACAACGGUCUGUCAGAAAGAAACGUCAUUUAUAGUGAUUAGACUGUUCAUAGGUUGUGUAUGUUAUUAAUGUGUAUAUCUAUGAAAGAUGUGUAUUUAGUCUAUUUGAGCUUCUAUUUAUGAGAUUAUGAUUGAUCCAUGUGGAAUCAGGGCAAUUUGUAAUAUUCUGUACGUGAAUCAGUGAAACGUGUCUUGGAUGAUGUAUAGUAAUAUACAUCUUUCUGUGGUUGUUGUGCUGCAACAACAAAGGAAAAUUAUGUUGGGAGGUUAUGGGAACUAACAACAAAGGUUAGUUGAAUUUACAAAGCAGGUUAGGUGAUUUCGAUAUGGUUUAGAAUAACGGUUUGGCUAAGGGUGGGGCUAACUCCAACAAUCAACCUUUGGAAUGCUAGACCAACGACUAAAACCAAAUAGAAACUUUACAGAAAAGAUAAUGGACCGAUAUAUUUUUAAAUAAUAGCCUAUUAUCUUUGGGAAUUUACAAUCACCUAAAUAAAAGCUAGAAAAUUAGGCCCCCAUUGAUUUUGAUAUAAUGUUUGAGCAAAAGAAAACAAUUAUGUCAAAAUGCGUAAAAUUGCAGGACAUCAGCUUAAAAAUGGCAAAAUGUUGUCUCAUCUCCAUAGCAGAAUGUAUAUGAUUGCAAGAAAAUGACUUUAAAAGGGCAACAGUGUCUUUCAACAUGUGAAAAUGUAUAGAAUUGUUUUCUCUGCUGCCAAGAUGACAGUCUCAUAUCUUCUUGCCCAAGAUUUGAGGCGGACAGAAUAAAGCGGCACAGAUGACCCACCAGGCUUAUUGCCAUGCCACCUGCCUGUCCCACCACCUAAGCCCCUUUUUGAUACAGAGAAACCCUGAAUUGUUACCAAUAAUUUCAUAACUAUGCAGUACAUUUCUUUAAAUUGGUCACAAGAAGACAUACUCAAAUCUACAUUCAGUUAAAUGUUUUGAGGAAGAGGGUAUUAUUCAUCUAAUUUUUACUUAUUGUUUGGUCUGUUUGUUUUUCACUGCUCAGGCCUUAAUAUUUAGUAUUUUAUUAGGAUCCCCAAUUAACUGUUGCCAAGGCAGUGGCUAUUCUUCCUGGGAUCCAAAAAGGAAACAAACAAAAAACAACAAAUGAAAUACAUAAUAUACAUAACACUACAUUUACAUCACACUUUAGUCAUUUGCCAGACGCUCCCAUUACAUAAUACAAUACCUCAGGGUGGGUCGAGACUCAAAAGACAUCUCUGUUAGUUGGUCACGAAGCAUAACAGUUUGGGAACCCCAGUGCUACUGUAGACGGUCGCGGAUUAGGCUCGUUUUGUAUUUUGUUGUUUUUUCAGUGUCAUUUAAAUAAAAGUAAAAUGUACGCCUACCACGCUGCACC